This 80-nucleotide transfer RNA is filed under the name Pisolithus microcarpus. RNAcentral's name for it is "tRNA-Trp". The record is from RNAcentral. Lineage: Eukaryota; Fungi; Basidiomycota; Agaricomycetes; Boletales; Pisolithaceae. RNAcentral also lists the same sequence under 1 other name.
GGGCCCCUGGCGUAGUGGCUAUCGCGUGUGAUUCCAGUUUGGUAUCCACAAGGUCAUCCGUUCGACUCGGGUGGGGCUCA